Molecule: ribosomal RNA, 465 nt
Filed under: uncultured bacterium
Lineage: Bacteria
Description: partial 16S ribosomal RNA
Rfam family: Bacterial small subunit ribosomal RNA
Source: RNAcentral
CCUACGGGAGGCAGCAGUGGGGAAUAUUGCGCAAUGGGCGAAAGCCUGACGCAGCGACGCCGCGUGAGGGAUGAAGGUCUUCGGAUCGUAAACCUCUGUCAGCAGGGAAGAACGGUCACUGUGCUAAUCAGCAGUGAAUUGACGGUACCUGCAAAGGAAGCACCGGCUAACUCCGUGCCAGCAGCCGCGGUAAUACGGAGGGUGCGAGCGUUAAUCGGAAUUACUGGGCGGAAGGGGCUCGUAGGCGGUAUGUCAAGUCAAGGGUGAAAUCCCCGCGCUCAACGUGGGAACUGCCUUUGAAAGUGGCAGACUGGAGUGUGUGAGAGGAUAGUGGAAUUCCAGGUGUAGGAGUGAAAUCCGUAGAUAUCUGGAGGAACAUCAGUGGCGAAGGCGACUAUCUGGCACAUAACUGACGCUGAGGAGCGAAAGCGUGGGUAGCAAACAGGAUUAGAUACCCGAGUAGUC